This is a small nuclear RNA of Mustela putorius furo (domestic ferret), 160 nucleotides long. Its record names the gene U4. It matches the Rfam family "U4 spliceosomal RNA". Rfam says of the family: U4 small nuclear RNA (U4 snRNA) is a component of the major U2-dependent spliceosome. The structure of U4 snRNA from yeast and human has been reported. U4 snRNA presents a k-turn RNA motif in the 5p-SL related to recognition of Snu13 protein. Lineage: Eukaryota; Metazoa; Chordata; Mammalia; Carnivora; Mustelidae. The record is from Ensembl.
AGCUUUGUGCAGUGGCAGUAUCGUAGCCAAUGAGGUUUAUCCAAGGCGCGAUUAUUGCUAAUUGAAAACUUUUCCCAAUACCCCCCGUGACGACUUAAAAUCUAGUUUGACUGAUGUAAAGAUGACUACUCCAGCUUUCUUUUGACAUCCAUUAGCAUGA